UACGUAGGGGGCUAGCGUUAUCCGGAAUUACUGGGCGUAAAGGGUGCGUAGGUGGUUUCUUAAGUCAGAGGUGAAAGGCUACGGCUCAACCGUAGUAAGCCUUUGAAACUGGGAAACUUGAGUGCAGGAUAGGAGAGUGGAAUUCCUAGUGUAGCGGUGAAAUGCGUAGAUAUUAGGAGGAACACCAGUUGCGAAGGCGGCUCUCUGGACUGUAACUGACACUGAGGCACGAAAGCGUGGGAGCAAACAGG
RNAcentral lists this ribosomal RNA (251 nucleotides) under uncultured bacterium. RNAcentral describes it as "partial 16S ribosomal RNA". It matches the Rfam family "Bacterial small subunit ribosomal RNA", at positions 524 to 776 of the family's 1533-position model. The record is from RNAcentral.